GGUCAACUUAUUGUGGAAGGGGGGGAUAUGUGGGAAAGUGAGAUGUAGCUGAAAAGCAGGUGGUUAUAUCUCCUCUCUAUCUCCCUUCCCCACAUCUUCCCUCUUCCUUUUUUUUUUUGUAU
Molecule: non-coding RNA, 122 nt
Organism: Podarcis lilfordi (Lilford's wall lizard)
Lineage: Eukaryota; Metazoa; Chordata; Lepidosauria; Squamata; Lacertidae
Source: the annotation of a GenBank genome assembly